AUGCUGGCUAUCUAUACACAGGUUGUAGUGAUUAGAGAGAAGCUUGCGAAACUGUAUGAAUCUGAACAACAAUGGUUGAGAGCAGCACAAAUGCUUAGUGGCAUUGACUUGGACUCAGGAAUCAGGAUACUUGAUGACACAAACAAAUUAUCCAAGUGCGUCCAGAUUACACGACUCUAUUUGGAGGAUGAUGAUGAUGCAGUGAAUGCUGAAGCCUUUAUCAACAAAGCCUCGUUUUUGGUCACAAACAGCAACCAGGAAAUUCUGAACUUACAAUACAAGGUUUUUUUGUUCAGAAACAGUUUAAUAAUCUAUCUGUCUACAACUAAGGAUAAAAAUUUAGUUCCCUUCUUAUACCUCUUGUAG
This 366-nucleotide ribosomal RNA is filed under the name Triticum aestivum (bread wheat). Its description in RNAcentral is "partial small subunit ribosomal RNA". The record is from RNAcentral. Lineage: Eukaryota; Viridiplantae; Streptophyta; Magnoliopsida; Poales; Poaceae.